GAAGACAGGCUGGUGGAGGAAGUACAUGACGAGGAUCUACAAGAUGACGGGUUUGAGUAGGAGAUCAUGGAGGACAUCACAGUUCAAGUGCUGUAUGAGGAUGACCCCUGCCGUGAUCUCAGAAACAGCCCCUCAUCUCAGCAUUACUGGCUGAGCCGUCCACAUCAGCUGGUGGAGAAGGACAGCUUCCUAGCCCAGCCCCCUCAGUGCCGUCACAGCCAUCCAAGUCUGGAGACAGUCUCUCUGUUGAGGCUCAGGGAGUAGUCAUUGGACCUGAUGGCAUUGCUGGGUGGGACAAGGUGCAGGAUCUGGCUGCUUAUUUGGUAGGUCUUCGUUAGGCUCCUUACCUCACUGACCUGCAGGUGACAGAGGCCAUCCAGCUGUGGACAGCUCUCCUGGAUGUUGAUAAACACCGCAUCAACUACCAGCCUCGACAUCAGCCUCAGCUGACACAUGGGCGCUUUAAGGCACCGAAGCGCUCCGGAGUCACUCCAGGUGUGGAGAGCGUCAAGCGCUGUCUGAUUGGACAUCCUGAGGGUCCAGCACAGUGGCCUAGCACCAGCCGCUUGGUUGAGGCCAUUUGUACAAAGCUGUGUGUCGUACACAAGUCCACUUCCAAGAAGGCUGGUGUUCGCACGCACAGGUGGUCUAAAAUACUGACCGAUUACCACCACAUCCGGGAUCUGG
Non-coding RNA from Danio rerio (zebrafish), 687 nucleotides. Lineage: Eukaryota; Metazoa; Chordata; Actinopteri; Cypriniformes; Danionidae. The record is from Ensembl.